UUUCCGUAGGUGAACCUGCGGAAGGAUCAUUAAUGAACCCCUGGACAUGAUCGGUCCGUAAUGGCCCGUUAUGCUUCGGCCGAUCGCCAUAUGCGCGUAGUGACUAUUUGUUGCUUUCGUGGGCCGACACUUGGGCAUCGGAUUCGGCUGGCUCGCGACCGCCAGCGGUACCGAAACCUUGUAUGGUAGUGACGCCUGAGUGCUAUUUAAUAGUUCAAACUUUAAACAAUGGAUUUCUUGGUUCUGGCAUCGAUGAAGAACGCAACCGAUCGGAAAAGC
This 279-nucleotide unclassified non-coding RNA is filed under the name plant metagenome. RNAcentral describes it as "partial contains small subunit ribosomal RNA, internal transcribed spacer 1, and 5.8S ribosomal RNA". The record is from RNAcentral.